This is a long non-coding RNA of Octopus bimaculoides (California two-spot octopus), 1317 nucleotides long. RefSeq lists it as uncharacterized. Lineage: Eukaryota; Metazoa; Mollusca; Cephalopoda; Octopoda; Octopodidae. The record is from RefSeq and is a predicted model, not a curated record.
GUCAUUAUCUGCAGGUGUAACUAUACUGUUUACUUCAUUUGCUAUAUAUACUUGCAAAUUCAAAGCAACCGAAUUGGUUUUACUUUGACUUUAAAGCUAAAAGAAGUAACUGAUUAUUUUACAUUCUUCAUCGCGAAAUGUGUAUCAAAUAUAAUUUGAAAUAUGACAGAAAUAUAUUGCCUACGCAUACAUAAUAUUAAAUGUCAAUAAUACAGUCUGUUAUUCUUUUAUUCUUCUACUUGUUUCGGUCAUUUGACUGCAGCCAUGCCGGAGAACCGACUUAAACGGUUUUAGUCGAGCAAAUCGACCCCAGGUUUCCACACAUGAGUACAACGUACCCACCAAAAAGUUCAUUGCUGCAGAUGAUGUCUUUCAGAUCCUCGUGAGUACCAUGACGAAAAAAUAUCCGAAGUGAUAGCGUAAAUGUAAAUAACAAAUGUAAAAGCGACGUGUGUGACUCUUUGUUUCGGUGUCAACCAUCCAUCUUCUCCAAUGAAUUACGGUAUUUUUGCAGUUGUUCCUUAUUACAGAUAAUAUUACCGAAAGAUUCUGACACGAAUGUCAGUGAUAGCAUUAACCUCAAAAGGCCAAAAGAAACUAUAUGUAUAGCCAAGAAAUAUAUCGAAGACGUUUUCCCAAUUCAUAUUGAGCGUGGUAACAAUUUCUUCAUCAAUGUUUGUGAUAUAGGAUACUCUCUCAAGUUUACUCAAUUGUAUUGCUUGCCAAAUUAUCCGACUGUUUCGGAUACAGCAUGACUGGCAAUAUGCCACAGUAGAAAGCUAAUGUAAGAGGAGCAUUCCUUUAGAUUAUGAAGUCAAGUGUCAGGAGAAAAUAUUAAAUAUUUAAACUUCUUAAUAACCUUCUCUAAAUCAUUCAUAGUUUCCACAAUGAAGUUCCGUGGUGAAUAUUGCAAACGUUUAAUUAGUCUUUCUUCUGCGGCUAAUCAGAUGAAUAACUGAAUUGAAAACGCAGUAACGAAGAUUGUUUGGCUCUUCACCUGUAAAUAGAAGAAAACUUUGGUUAAUCGAAUGUUUAUAUCGACCAACAUAAAAUGUGAAUCACCUUUCACCAACAGGACAGGUGUAUAAAAGAUAACCUUAAGAAAAUUGUGAUAUAUUGGUGUACCUGUACAUAGUGGAAGUUCAGAUCUGUCACUUUUUGUUUAAGACAAAUAAUUCGAAUGCAAUGCCAGCUACUUACCAAACAAUUAUGAAAAUGUAUGGUUUGGAACCGUUCAAAGCAAUAUAUAUCAAGUGUUUUGAAGCAUUUUUCAAAUUCCCCGAAAGUUCUGCAAAGUAGAAAUAUGAAUGAAUUCUA